UUCAGUUUACAUGAUAAAUGUGCCUUAAUUGACAUUUGGAUUAAGAUAUUAUUAAAUAUUAAUACGGGGACAACGGCAUAACCUCUUUGCCAUGGUAGUCAUUCGACAAAAAUGAGUUGCUGCUUCAAAUCAAAUGAAACCAAACCAAACACCUCUAAUUACCAUGAUAUGUGCAUGUCUAUUUUUCAACUUUAGUCUCAGUGCAGAAGCAAGGGUUUUAUCUAAGUCCAGACAAUUAUCUGUGGAUCCCUGUAACUUCAAGUGUCUCAUAGAUAGUAGCCCUCCACACAUACAUACACACACGCACGCACGCACAUGCAAAUCCCUGACAACUUUUAAAGGAGUUGAAUUUCCCCUAUGCGUGUAAGGUGAUAGCAGACCCCUUUCACACUCUGCUUGCCUUAUACAUGAUCAGAUCACAUUCUAGAACUGGAUUCUAGAAGGCACAGUUCAGUUUAAUGGUUGCUCUGAUUACUAAUUCUUUCACGUCUGUCUGCUCUCCUUAACUACAUCAGAACUGUAUUUGUCAGGAACUGUGUUUUAAACCUUGUUUGUACUCUCUAGGACAAGAGGCUUUCCAAUUCUUCCUGGUCUCACAUUAAUUCUCUCAGAUCCUUUGAAGAAGUAACAGCUCUUAUUAUCCCUACUUUAGAGAUGAGUAAACUACCACUCAGAGAGAGUGAAGGAUUCAGCUGAAGUCAUAUAGCUCCGUGGAUCUUCAGGCGAAUGUAGAGUUAUUGCAAAAAGUCUGUACAGAGAUGUCAAGUGCUUAAUGUUUUUGGACUAACUAAAUAAUGGUUUAGAAGUAUAUGUACCUCUAUUUAUGUUAUAAUAUAUGUUAUGUUAUGGUCAUUUAUAGUAAUUAACUCAUUCAUUGAUUAAUAUAAAUUUUAAAAUGUUAUUGAAUUCAAAACAGCUUUUAUUUUGUAUUUUUCUAACUUAUUAGUAAUGUGCAAAAUGGGAUUUUUUUUUAAACUUACAAGAAGUUCUUGAACUGAGAAGUCUGGAAUCCAUUGAAGUAAACCAAAGCUAGGGCUCACUAAUAAAUUACAGAGGGUGUUUUGAAGAAUCUAGUUUUCUAGUUGCAAAGAAAAUUUUCAUUUUUCAAUUGCUACCUAUAGUAGGUUUGCAUGUGUGAUCAAAGCCUAGAAAACGCCUGGAAGUACUGAUCACUAUUGUUUAAUUUCUUCCUUCAUCUAACAACUAUCUCCCCCAAAACUUCUAAUUCUUACCUUUAUUAUCUAAGUGACCUUGGACAAUUUGCUCAACUUAUUUGUGUCUUAGUUUUCUCAUUGAUAAGGAGAAUCGUAGCACCUACCUUAUAGAGUGCUGUGAUGGUCACAUGAGUUAAUGCAUGUGAUAUCUUUAGCACAUCCUUGUCACAUAGGAAAUACUCAGCAGAUAUUGUUGCUGAAUACUUAAGACUGUUGUUGACACAUAGUUGGGGCUCAAUAGACAUUUUUGGAAUGAAUUAGUGAAUAAAUGAAAAAAUGAAUAGAAAUAAGGACAGUUGUAUAUAUGUAAUUUUUAGUCUACAUUUCUUUGGUCACAGGCAGGCAAUUAGGAGAACUGCUUUUGUGCAGAGGCUACAUUUGGGGAAUAUUCAUUUUGGUGAGCUCAAGCUAGAGAGCUGAUGAUGUUUCUGUGUUUUCUGGCCAAGCAGACUUUACAAGUUUAUCAGCUUUAUCUGCUAGAUGUAUCACAACAUGCAUUUAAAAAAUCAGGUGGGAAAAAUUUGGGUUUGGAACUGAUGUGAAGUACAGGCUUUAUUCCUCAUUAAAAACCAUAAGAGGAAACAAGGCCGUUAGACCCUCUAAAUGGGAGAAGAGAAGCAAUGCUUUCUUGCCACAAACCAAAAUGCUGAGGACCACAGUUAUAAGAAGGUCAAAGGAAGUUAGAAUGACCUUUCGUAGCAGGCUCAAUGUUUAGCUAGCUUAAAAAUUUACUUUCAGAUUAUCCCAGGGAUAGCUAUUUAGUUUACUACAUAAACAGCCUUGCAACCUUAUAGGAACAGUUGUUUUUGCUUUGGUUUUGUUUAGUUUUGGUGUUUGUAUAGUGAGGUUUUGAAAGUAGGAAAAAAGAACGUAUUGCUUGACUUUAAAAGAUGAGCUGUCCUGAGUUUUGGCACUAGCUGACAUGGUUUUUGUUUUGGUUUGGUUUUAACAAAGGCAUUGGCCAAAUGGGCCAAUGAAGAAAUAAUCCGUUUCUCAGGUUCCACUGUCUUUUCUAAUACUAGACAGUAAUCAGAUGACAUGUCACAGCGAUGAUAGUAGCUAGUGCUCCUUGGAACUCCACACUGGGGAGGCUCUGUGCUGAUGCGCGGACAUGGAAGGAAGACCCAUUUUCUGCCUUCCAGAACUUUCCAGGCAUGGUUAUAAUAAGGGACAUUAAUAUGCUUCCCUAUUACCUACAUUCACUGGCCCUGUGUCUACCUACUGGUAUCAAAUGAAGCAAAUCAAGUUCUUUUAAGUGUCAGCUCUUUGAAGCAUUUAAACAUAAGCCAUCAAGAACCCAGGUGUCAAACACACUUCCUUAUUAACAUACUAGGGAAUGCCAGCCAUCUCAGUAAGUUAUAGUUUUAUGUCUCUUCACCAGUAGGUCACAGUGCUUUUGCACACUCUCUAAUUUGUCUCUGUCCAUAAGGUUUGACCCACUCCUCCACCACCACCAUCCGAGUGGUUUUGGCCAGUACAGAGUAGAGCUGGGCUCUCUGGGCCCAAUAUACAGGGUCACAGCAACUUCUGGAAUUCUCCCUCAAAAUGCCCAGGUGAAGGGGUCUGGAGUAACUAAAUAAGAAACUUGAAAUAAAAUGAUUGAUUUUCUUUAUUAUUUUUUUAGAUCCUCACCCCUAAUCCUGUCUCAGGCCUUCUUCCUUUCUCUGUAGAACUUUUAGACUAUCUUCUUACCAGUGUUUUUAGGGAAACCAAAUACUAGUAUAAUUGCCAUUUAUUAAGUGUCCUUUUUCUGGUACCACAUGCUUUAAAUUUCUUAUUUUAUGAAAUCUUAUAAUAACCAGGCAAGCUGGGUUAUUAGUAUUUUUUAUCCCCAUUUUCCAUAGGAGGAAAUUGUGGUUUAGAGGUUGAGCAACUUGCCACAGUUCUAGAAUUCAGACCCGGGGCUGCCUGCCUCCCAAGUUUCUGCUCCUUCUCACACAUCACUCAGUGUCUCUGUGAUAUAUGAAUAACGUACUUGGACAUACUUAGCUCUUUGGUUGGCCAUGCUAGGUGCUCAAUACAUGUUAGUUUCCCUUUUUGUCAUCAUCCUUCCUUUUCUCCCAAAUAAUCACAUGCAACCUAAAAAUGAGGAAGAGGGCUUAGAGUAGCAAAAGUCUGUGCCAGGUUCCCAAGGUGGUCAGAUAACAUGAAUCCUGCAGUGACGUGCCUUUGGCCAGGUACGCCCUUUCCGUGGGGCUGUGGGCCAGCUCUACGUCUGUCAACAUAUGCAAUGCCAACUUGUUUACUAUCAGUGAAUGUCUGGGAGUUCUUUCUAACCAAUCCCUACCCCAAACACUUUCUCCUUAUUUCUUCAAAUAAUUCUAUUCACUCCCUAAACCAUUUCAUUAAAUCCAGUGACUUUUGAGAGUUCCAUAGCAGCUCAGAGCUGGCCCCGUCUUCUUUGGACUCAGGGCCCACAGGUCAGGGAAAGAUGUAGACAGCACAUGCCAUCAGGGAGAAGAGGGUCUUGGGGCAGCCUUCUCUUUGGCUCCUCCUAUCGUUGCUGGGGUUCUUUUUGCUCCUCUGAGAGCUGCGUACUAUGUUACUUACAGCGACUAUCAUGCUCAAGUUCAGUAGUUGUCAACUGGGGGCAGUCCAGUGCUUACAGAGGUAUUUGGAAAUAGGGAGGGUGCUUUCUGGUUAUCACAAUGACUAAGGGGCAUUUUUGGCAUUUAGUGGCUGGGGGUGGGCAGGGAUGUUAAAAUUCUGCAAUUCACACAACAGUCUGGCAUGACAAAAAAUGGACCCCAAAUAGCAAUGCUGUUGCCCCUGUUGAGAAGGCCAGGGCCACCACUAUCUUCUUGCCAUUGUCCCUCCAUGUCCAGCACAGUGCCCGUCCUUCCACAAAAGCUAAGUACAAAUCUCAUGAAUGAAUGCUCUCCUUGGUACCUUGCCAUCUUUCCUCAUGUCUCCUCUUCCCGGGGAGCUGUCCUGCUUGCCUCUCAUUUCUGGAACUGACUUUGAAAGUGGAGGACUUAUUCAGCUCCAUCUCAUCUGUUUUCCAUUCCUCUUUCCUUCCCUUAUUCUGAAAAUUUUCAAAAUUGACCUUCUAAAUUGAUGAAUUAUGAUUUACCUUUUGAGUAAAAUUCAAAGACAUGGCUUUCUAGGGUAAUUUUAGGUAGCAGCAUUUGUCUCCACAGUAGAUGUAAACACUCUAAAAAGGUAUUCUGUUGAUGGUCUAAUUGAUUAGGUUUUUAAAUGAUUAAGUGAUUUGGCCAAAGCAGCAACAGUGGCCCUGCUGACUUCCCUUCUCUGACCCUUGAAGCUACCCUUGAAGCCUGGAACUGGUGGAGGAAGGGAGGGGUGUCUUAAGGAGCCAGCAAGGAAGAAGCUCAAGCUCAAGCUGUGCCCUCUUCAUCAUUCCUGCUGGAGUGUCAGGAAAGCCGGUACUAAGCAAAUCAAGGACUGCAGCUCCCUCCAGACAGAUAACCUGCUAGAAGAGGGUCAGAAACGUGUCCCCAUGAGAUGCCUGUAUCCUGAUCCCAGUUAAGUGAUAGCAACGUGAUGCUGCACUGUGGAGCAUUAUCUGUGGUUGGAAAUUUUCAGAGGUUGUGGGUUUUACUUUCUGGCUCAUUCCCUUGAGAAGACCCUUAGCUCCUUUCUCUUUUGUAAAUUUCACAGAGAAGGUUCUCUUCCCAUCAUGGGAAUUCCCAACUCUGCUCCAUUCAGGGGUUCUCCCAUUUUCUUAAAGGGUAUUAGGGAAUACUUUUAAAGGUCUUAAAAUAAAGUUCAUUCUCAUCCUUCUCAAAUUGAAAACAACUUUCUGAAGGGUAGCAAAGCUCAGGGCUGGUAAGUGUGGGCUGGGAAAAUCAUGGAGCAGAGAAAUUUAAUAAGGGGGGAAAGAACAACAUUUACUUGUACUUGCCAUGUGCCAUGCACAUUACCUAUUAAGUACAUUCUUUAAUCUGCCUCCAAUUCCAUGAAGAAAUAUAUAAGUCUGGAUGGAUGAGGUUAUGCUCCAGUAACAACCCCUAUAUCUCCCGACUUUAAAAAAA
Molecule: long non-coding RNA, 5209 nt
Organism: Sapajus apella (tufted capuchin)
Lineage: Eukaryota; Metazoa; Chordata; Mammalia; Primates; Cebidae
Exons: 2
Source: RefSeq, a predicted model, not a curated record